UACGGAGGAUCCAAGCGUUAUCCGGAUUUAUUGGGUUUAAAGGGUGCGUAGGCGGAAUGAUAAGUCAGUGGUGAAAGCCUGCAGCUUAACUGCAGAACUGCCAUUGAUACUGUCAAUCUUGAGUACAUUUGAUGUGGGCGGAAUGUGUCAUGUAGCGGUGAAAUGCUUAGAUAUGACACAGAACACCGAUUGCGAAGGCAGCUCACAAAACUGUAACUGGACGCUGAGGCAACGAAAGCGUGGGUAUCAAACAGG
This 255-nucleotide ribosomal RNA is filed under the name uncultured bacterium. RNAcentral describes it as "partial 16S ribosomal RNA". It matches the Rfam family "Bacterial small subunit ribosomal RNA", at positions 524 to 776 of the family's 1533-position model. The record is from RNAcentral.